CUUCCAAGGAGACUUUAAAGGCCAUGCAGUUUUCACCUCGCUCACUGGAAUGCUCGUUCCUGGAGUCCGGAACUCCCGGGGAAGAAGUCCAGCUCCCCUGCCAUAACCAGGCUAGUAAGGACAGCCAUUGGCACUACAGUUGACAGUCCCUGUCCAGGUGGCAGACAAGUCAAGAAGCCAUCUGGGAAGGGGGUCCUCCAGCCGUCGCUCUCCAAACCCUGGCUGUUAGAGUCGCCCCCUGCUGUUCAGGCCAACGAGCUGAGGCUGGACAUUGCGGAACAGAGUCAAUGCCUGAUAAAUGCCUUUUCCAAAUUCCUGACCCACAGAAUCAAGCAGGGAUCUCAUCCUGGGAAAAGGAAGCCAAGAGGACCAGAGGCUACGGCUCUACCAGGUGCCCAGAGUAGUACCUCAGAGAAGUUGUCCAGGGGACAGGCAGUCCAUAAGAAAAGACACAUGAGACUUUCUACAAAGGAACUGACUUUACUUGAGACAAGUAGAGGCGAUGGCCUUGGGAACGCCGAUGGUAAUAAAUUGGCAAGGACUUGGCUGGAUACGGAGAGGAGUGGAAAAAGGAGACAAUAUCCGGGUUCAACGCUGAGAGCAUUGUGGCCCUACUCACCGCCACAAGCACAAUCUGGAAGACAAGCAGGUUUGAAGUAGAAAGGGCACAUUUCACAGGAUGUGCUGAAUUUUAAGUACCAGCAAGCCUCCAGGUGAAGCCGUCCAGCAAACGCUGAAACUUUGCACCUGGGAUUAAGGGCAAAGACGAUGCUAAGGACAGACGUUUCCAUAAAGGAGAAAGUUGACAGCACAGGAGUAUGAUGUGACCAAGGGUGACACUGUCAAGGAAGGAGCCCAGUGGGGCAGGCAGUGCUGACCACAAAGAUUUCAGAGAAGGGAUAAUCAUCUGCAGAAUGCUUAUGCCAGAGGAGGGAUGUUUGAGUACAGUUCAUCUCGGAGAUAUGAAGAAGUGUCGAAACAAACAAGAAAACUCUUUCAGAGGUUUUGGGGGUCAAAAAAACCCCUAGUUCUUAAAUCUUCAUAAAUUAUUAAAUGUGUUUUGACUCCUAUUCCUGAACACUGGCUGCCUUCUUGGAUUGUGCUGACUGGUUGAGUUGGUAGAAAUGGGAACAUUCACUGGUGCUCUUCAAAUGUUACUCCCUCGCAAAUUACCCACUGGCCUCUCUUGGGACCUUAACAACACAAAUAAGGACUGGUUUAACAUUUAA
Long non-coding RNA from Lynx canadensis (Canada lynx), 1229 nucleotides. RefSeq lists it as uncharacterized. The record is from RefSeq and is a predicted model, not a curated record. NCBI's taxonomy places the organism in Eukaryota, Metazoa, Chordata, Mammalia, Carnivora, Felidae. The transcript is spliced from 3 exons.